Molecule: ribosomal RNA, 469 nt
Filed under: uncultured bacterium
Lineage: Bacteria
Description: bacterial SSU rRNA
Rfam family: Bacterial small subunit ribosomal RNA
Source: RNAcentral
ACUCCUACGGGAGGCAGCAGUGGGGAAUAUUGCACAAUGGGCGCAAGCCUGAUGCAGCCAUGCCGCGUGUAUGAAGAAGGCCUUCGGGUUGUAAAGUACUUUCAGCAGUGAGGAAGGUGGGUAUGUUAAUAGCAUACUCAUUUGACGUUAGCUGCAGAAGAAGCACCGGCUAACUCCGUGCCAGCAGCCGCGGUAAUACGGAGGGUGCGAGCGUUAAUCGGAAUUACUGGGCGUAAAGCGCAUGCAGGUGGUUUGUUAAGUCAGAUGUGAAAGCCCGGGGCUCAACCUCGGAAUUGCAUUUGAAACUGGCAAACUAGAGUACUGUAGAGGGGGGUAGAAUUUCAGGUGUAGCGGUGAAAUGCGUAGAGAUCUGAAGGAAUACCGGUGGCGAAAGGCGGCCCCCUGGACAGAUACUGACACUCAGAUGCGAAAGCGUGGGGAGCAAACAGGAUUAGAUACCCUGGUAGGC